AUUGAACGCUGGCGGCAGGCCUAACACACGCCAGUCGAGCGGAUGAAGGGAGCUUGCUCCUGGAUUCAGCGGCGGACGGGUGAGUAAUGCCUAGGAAUCUGCCUGGUAGUGGGGGAUAACGUCCGGAAACGGGCGCUAAUACCGCAUACGUCCUGAGGGAGAAAGUGGGGGACCUUCGGACCUCACGCUAUCAGAUGAGCCUAGGUCGGAUUAGCUAGUUGGUGGGGUAAAGGCCUACCAAGGCGACGAUCCGUAACUGGUCUGAGAGGAUGAUCAGUCACACUGGAACUGAGACACGGUCCAGACUCCUACGGGAGGCAGCAGUGGGGAAUAUUGGACAAUGGGCGAAAGCCUGAUCCAGCCAUGCCGCGUGUGUGAAGAAGGUCUUCGGAUUGUAAAGCACUUUAAGUUGGGAGGAAGGGCAGUAAGUUAAUACCUUGCUGUUUUGACGUUACCAACAGAAUAAGCACCGGCUAACUUCGUG
RNAcentral lists this ribosomal RNA (484 nucleotides) under uncultured bacterium. Its description in RNAcentral is "partial 16S ribosomal RNA". It matches the Rfam family "Bacterial small subunit ribosomal RNA", at positions 30 to 507 of the family's 1533-position model. The record is from RNAcentral.